Long non-coding RNA from Sinocyclocheilus rhinocerous, 114 nucleotides. RefSeq lists it as uncharacterized. NCBI's taxonomy places the organism in Eukaryota, Metazoa, Chordata, Actinopteri, Cypriniformes, Cyprinidae. The record is from RefSeq and is a predicted model, not a curated record. The transcript is spliced from 3 exons.
GGGUGUGUGUGUGUGUGUGUGUGGGUAUGUGAGUUUUUUGUGCAUUGGGGACAUUCUGCAGUCUCAGCCCUUUGUUUGGGCAUGCAUCUUUUCUGGAUUGUGUCAGAUUUUAUA